AAAUCGCCCCUAAGUUUUGCCACUGUAGCACUUUUGGCCCCCCAAGGCAAAAAAAAAAAAAAAAUUAACGCGUGGCACCUCACUUACGGUGCCACGUCAACGUAGACCGAAUCAAAAUUGGCCUUGGGGGCCAAAACUGCCAAUAGUGCAAAACUUAGGAGGCGAUUU
This 168-nucleotide microRNA precursor is filed under the name Medicago truncatula (barrel medic). RNAcentral describes it as "MIR2619 microRNA precursor family". It matches the Rfam family "MIR2619 microRNA precursor family". The record is from Rfam by way of RNAcentral. Lineage: Eukaryota; Viridiplantae; Streptophyta; Magnoliopsida; Fabales; Fabaceae.